AAAAGGUUGUUGGGGCCAGAAAAGCUGAGGGGAAAGUUAAGUCCUCACCAAAAAUCCCUGGAGAAAAGACAAAACAGACAAAUACUGCAUGAUCUCACUUACACGUGGAACCUAAAAAUGGCGAACUCAUAGAAGCAGAGAAUAGAAAGAUAUAUAUCCAAAGGAAACAAAAUCAGUUUCCAGAAGAAAUAUCUUCACUCCCAUGUUCAUUGCAGAAUUAUUUAUAAUAGCCAAGAUACAGAAACAACCGAAGUGUCAGUCAAUGGAAGAAUGAGUGAAGAAAAGCAAUAUAUGUAUACCAUCAAAUAUUAUUCAGCCAAAAACAGAAGACAAUACUGACAUUUUUGACAAUAUAGAUGAAACUGAAGGGCAUUAUGGGACAGUUUGAUUCAGAGUAAUGGAGCGGUGGAAAUUAAAUGAGUGCG
Long non-coding RNA from Symphalangus syndactylus (siamang), 425 nucleotides. RefSeq lists it as uncharacterized. The record is from RefSeq and is a predicted model, not a curated record. Lineage: Eukaryota; Metazoa; Chordata; Mammalia; Primates; Hylobatidae.